UAAGUGGGAAGUUUAAAUAAAAACGUCUAAUUUACACUUAGAAGAUCUUAAUUAAAUAAGCUCGCUUAU
RNAcentral lists this transfer RNA (69 nucleotides) under Pediculus humanus capitis (human head louse). RNAcentral's name for it is "tRNA-Val". It matches the Rfam family "tRNA". From Rfam's summary of the family: Transfer RNA (tRNA) molecules are approximately 80 nucleotides in length. Their secondary structure includes four short double-helical elements and three loops (D, anti-codon, and T loops). Further hydrogen bonds mediate the characteristic L-shaped molecular structure. tRNAs have two regions of fundamental functional importance: the anti-codon, which is responsible for specific mRNA codon recognition, and the 3' end, to which the tRNAs corresponding amino acid is attached (by aminoacyl-tRNA synthetases). tRNAs cope with the degeneracy of the genetic code in two manners: having more than one tRNA (with a specific anti-codon) for a particular amino acid; and 'wobble' base-pairing, i.e. permitting non-standard base-pairing at the 3rd anti-codon position. The record is from RNAcentral. Lineage: Eukaryota; Metazoa; Arthropoda; Insecta; Psocodea; Pediculidae.